UUGUUCAAAUAUAACUUGAGCAGCUGAAACCGCUCCUCUUCCCCAGGUAGGGGAAACUCGAUAACUUCAUCAAUUCGGUCAGUAAUAGCAGCAUCAAGAUCACCCGGUCGGUUGGUUGCAAGGACAAGAACAAUGUCCCUUGAUUGGUCACCAGUUCGAAAUAAUAGUGCAUUGAGAGCACUCCGCUGA
This 189-nucleotide ribosomal RNA is filed under the name Triticum aestivum (bread wheat). RNAcentral describes it as "partial small subunit ribosomal RNA". Lineage: Eukaryota; Viridiplantae; Streptophyta; Magnoliopsida; Poales; Poaceae. The record is from RNAcentral.